Molecule: ribosomal RNA, 274 nt
Filed under: uncultured bacterium
Lineage: Bacteria
Description: partial 16S ribosomal RNA
Rfam family: Bacterial small subunit ribosomal RNA
Source: RNAcentral
AUACGGAGGGAGCAAGCGUUGUUCGGAAUCACUGGGCGUAAAGCGAGUGUAGGUUGUCAGGUAAGUAGGAUGUGAAAGCCCGGGGCUCAACCCCGGCAUUGCAUUCUAAACUGCCUGGCUAGAGUCCCGGAGAGGGAGGUGGAAUUCCGAGUGUAGAGGUGAAAUUCGUAGAUAUUCGGAGGAACACCAGAGGCGAAGGCGACCUCCUGGACGGUGACUGACACUGAGACUCGAAAGCGUGGGGAGCAAACAGGAUUAGAAACCCCAGUAGUCC